RNAcentral lists this ribosomal RNA (253 nucleotides) under uncultured bacterium. RNAcentral's name for it is "partial 16S ribosomal RNA". It matches the Rfam family "Bacterial small subunit ribosomal RNA", at positions 524 to 776 of the family's 1533-position model. The record is from RNAcentral.
UACGUAGGAUGCAAGCGUUGUCCGGAUUUAUUGGGUUUAAAGGGUGGUUAGGCGGCCUAUUAAGUUAGUGGUGAAAACGUUCGGCUUAACCGAAUACCCGCCAUUGAUACUGAUAGACUUGAGUGCGACAGAGGGUGUUGGAAUGUGUGGUGUAGCGGUGAAAUGCUUAGAUAUCACGCAGAACACCAAUUGCGAAGGCAGAUGCCUAUGUCGUAACUGACGCUGAGGCACGAAAGCGUGGGGAGCAAACAGG